GAUGAACGCCGGCGGCGUGCUUAACACAUGCAAGUCGAACGGGAAACCUUUUAUUGAAGCUUCGGCAGAUUUAGCUGGUUUCUAGUGGCGGACGGGUGAGUAACGCGUGGGUAACCUGCCCUAUACAGGGGGAUAACAACCAGAAAUGGUUGCUAAUACCGCAUAAGCGCACAGGACCGCAUGGUCCGGUGUGAAAAACUCCGGUGGUAUAGGAUGGACCCGCGUUGGAUUAGCCAGUUGGCAGGGUAACGGCCUACCAAAGCGACGAUCCAUAGCCGGCCUGAGAGGGUGAACGGCCACAUUGGGACUGAGACACGGCCCAGACUCCUACGGGAGGCAGCAGUGGGGAAUAUUGCACAAUGGGGGAAACCCUGAUGCAGCGACGCCGCGUGAAGGAAGAAGUAUCUCGGUAUGUAAACUUCUAUCAGCAGGGAAGAUAGUGACGGUACCUGACUAAGAAGC
This 462-nucleotide ribosomal RNA is filed under the name uncultured bacterium. Its description in RNAcentral is "bacterial SSU rRNA". It matches the Rfam family "Bacterial small subunit ribosomal RNA", at positions 28 to 491 of the family's 1533-position model. The record is from RNAcentral.